Long non-coding RNA from Dermochelys coriacea (leatherback sea turtle), 732 nucleotides. RefSeq lists it as uncharacterized. Lineage: Eukaryota; Metazoa; Chordata; Testudines; Dermochelyidae. The transcript is spliced from 3 exons. The record is from RefSeq and is a predicted model, not a curated record.
CUUUGAGUAGGAAGGACCUAGCUGCCUGAAGGAGUAUAAGGUGUCUUUGCUUCCCCUCUAAAUCAGGUCAGUUUUGUAACCAGCUCAGCCUUCUUCCUCAGUUGUGGGAUUGUGAGAGCCUUCAAAGCAAUGUGCCACUGUCAGAGAAAAUAUGCAGUGGAGUAAAUGAGACUUGGACCCGAUGCUCUCAUGCCACAGCACCAGGUAGAGUGGGUGGAAGCUGGAGACAGGCUAGCACACCAUCUGGGGAGGAACAGGACUAGGCCCCCGGCCUUACUUCAGAGGGACUCAAUUCCUCUCGUGUCCCAGGAGAGGGCGACUCUUCCCCCUCCCAUGGCAGAGGCGUGUGAGAGGUCUAAGACUGAAGAGCGUCCAGAUUCCUCCCUGAACAUCUGCCUUUUGUCAGCCGUGAGAUCUGGACAGGAAGCGAGUCCUGCUGAAUAAUUCAUCAUGCCGACCUCAAAGAGCAGCAUGAACCUCGGAUGGAAGAAAGCUGGCGGGUCUGACACUCCCCAGCUGAUCUGCCUGCUUUUAACAGGGGACAGUGUGAUGCAUGGCUAGAAGGGGUUAAACAGCCUGCAAAAUAAAUAACCCUCAGAAGAUGUGUGGGGAGAUAAUUUUGGUGGUUUUGUCUUUACAUUGUUGACCCUACUCAUACAUAUGUAAUCAACAGUCCCACUCUAUGCUGUACUCUGAUAAUUCAGAGGUCAAAAGAUCCUAGCAUUUAGAUGA